UACGGGGGGGGCAAGCGUUGUUCGGAAUUACUGGGCGUAAAGGGCUCGUAGGCGGCCAACUAAGUCAGACGUGAAAUCCCUCGGCUUAACCGGGGAACUGCGUCUGAUACUGGAUGGCUUGAGGUUGGGAGAGGGAUGCGGAAUUCCAGGUGUAGCGGUGAAAUGCGUGGAUAUCUGGAGGAACACCGGUGGCGAAGGCGGCAUCCUGGACCAAUUCUGACGCUGAGGAGCGAAAGCCAGGGGAGCAAACGGG
RNAcentral lists this ribosomal RNA (253 nucleotides) under uncultured bacterium. RNAcentral describes it as "partial 16S ribosomal RNA". It matches the Rfam family "Bacterial small subunit ribosomal RNA", at positions 524 to 776 of the family's 1533-position model. The record is from RNAcentral.